This is a long non-coding RNA of Symphalangus syndactylus (siamang), 431 nucleotides long. RefSeq lists it as uncharacterized. Lineage: Eukaryota; Metazoa; Chordata; Mammalia; Primates; Hylobatidae. The record is from RefSeq and is a predicted model, not a curated record.
UUGGAGCUCACAGAAGUUAUGGCCCAAGAUGGAACAGCAAGUCUGUGGCAGACGAGGUCCGAGAACUCGCUCUCCUGAUGCCUCAGCUGAGAACACGUUCUACUUCACCACCUGGUCUCCCAGCUACCCAACGGCAUAUGAACAACCAGGGAAUUAUUUUGGGGGAUACCCCCAAAGAGAUUUGGAGAUCCUGGAAACUGGAAAAAACAAAACAAUCUGUCUAGGACGGCACCUCAUCCAGGACACUAAUUCCUGCCCUUGGACACUGCUACUCCUGGUUCUCAGGCCUUUGAACUUGGACUAGGACUUACACCAUCAGCUCCCCUGGUUAUACACCACCAGCUUUCUUGGUUCUUCACCUUCAGAGAGCAGACAGUGGGACUUCUUGACCUCCAUUUCCAAUUCCCAAAAUAAAUCUUCUUAUAUCUAUG